RNAcentral lists this ribosomal RNA (683 nucleotides) under uncultured bacterium. Its description in RNAcentral is "bacterial SSU rRNA". It matches the Rfam family "Bacterial small subunit ribosomal RNA", at positions 139 to 808 of the family's 1533-position model. The record is from RNAcentral.
UGGGAUACCACUUGGAAACAGGUGCUAAUACCGGAUAACAACAAUAGCUGCAUGGCUAUUGCUUAAAAGGCGGCGAAAGCUGUCGCUAAAGGAUGGACCCGCGGUGCAUUAGCUAGUUGGUAAGGUAAUGGCUAACCAAGGCGACGAUGCAUAGCCGAGUUGAGAGACUGAUCGGCCACAUUGGGACUGAGACACGGCCCAAACUCCUACGGGAGGCAGCAGUAGGGAAUCUUCCACAAUGGGCGAAAGCCUGAUGGAGCAACGCCGCGUGAGUGAAGAAGGUUUUCGGAUCGUAAAGCUCUGUUGUUGGUGAAGAAGGAUAGAGGUAGUAACUGGCCCCUACUUGACGGUAAUCAACCAGAAAGUCACGGCUAACUACGUGCCAGCAGCCGCGGUAAUACGUAGGUGGCAAGCGUUGUCCGGAUUUAUUGGGCGUAAAGCGAGCGCAGGCGGAAAGAUAAGUCUGAUGUGAAAGCCCCCGGCUUAACCGAGGAAUUGCAUCGGAAACUGUGUUUCUUGAGUGCAGAAGAGGAGAGUGGAACUCCAUGUGUAGCGGUGGAAUGCGUAGAUAUAUGGAAGAACACCAGUGGCGAAGGCGGCUCUCUGGUCUGUAACUGACGCUGAGGCUCGAAAGCAUGGGUAGCGAACAGGAUUAGAUACCCUGGUAGUCCAUGCCGUAAACG